UACGUAGGGGGCUAGCGUUGUCCGGAAUCAUUGGGCGUAAAGAGCGUGUAGGCGGCCCGGUAAGUCCGCUGUGAAAGUCGGGGGCUCAACCCUCGAAUGCCGGUGGAUACUGUCGGGCUAGAGUCCGGAAGAGGAGAGUGGAAUUCCUGGUGUAGCGGUGAAAUGCGCAGAUAUCAGGAAGAACACCAAUGGCGAAGGCAGCUCUCUGGGACGGUACUGACGCUGAGACGCGAAAGCGUGGGGAGCGAACAGG
This 253-nucleotide ribosomal RNA is filed under the name uncultured bacterium. RNAcentral describes it as "partial 16S ribosomal RNA". It matches the Rfam family "Bacterial small subunit ribosomal RNA", at positions 524 to 776 of the family's 1533-position model. The record is from RNAcentral.